AGAGUUUGAUCCUGGCUCAGAACGAACGCUGGCGGCAGGCCUAACACAUGCAAGUCGAGCGCGCCUUCGGGCGAGCGGCGGACGGGUUAGUAACGCGUGGGAACGUGCCCAGAUCUACGGAAUAGCCACUGGAAACGGUGAGUAAUACCGUAUACGCCCUUCGGGGGAAAGAUUUAUCGGAUUUGGAUCGGCCCGCGUUAGAUUAGGUAGUUGGUGGGGUAACGGCCUACCAAGCCUACGAUCUAUAGCUGGUUUUAGAGGAUGAUCAGCAACACUGGGACUGAGACACGGCCCAGACUCCUACGGGAGGCAGCAGUGGGGAAUCUUGGACAAUGGGGGCAACCCUGAUCCAGCCAUGCCGCGUGAGUGAAGAAGGCCUUAGGGUCGUAAAACUCUUUCGCCUGUGAUGAUAAUGACAGUAGCAGGUAAAGAAACCCCGGCUAACUCCGUGCCAGCAGCCGCGGUAAUACGGAGGGGGUUAGCGUUGUUCGGAAUUACUGGGCGUAAAGCGCACGUAGGCGGAUUAGAAAGUUAGAGGUGAAAUCCCGGGGCUCAACCCCGGAACUGCCUUUAAAACUACUAGUCUAGAGUUCGAGAGAGGUGAGUGGAAUUCCGAGUGUAGAGGUGAAAUUCGUAGAUAUUCGGAGGAACACCAGUGGCGAAGGCGGCUCACUGGCUCGAUACUGACGCUGAGGUGCGAAAGUGUGGGGAGCAAACAGGAUUAGAUACCCUGGUAGUCCACACCGUAAACGAUGAAUGCCAGUCGUCGGGUAGUAUACUAUUCGGUGACACACCUAACGGAUUAAGCAUUCCGCCUGGGGAGUACGGUCGCAAGAUUAAAACUCAAAGGAAUUGACGG
RNAcentral lists this ribosomal RNA (859 nucleotides) under uncultured marine bacterium. Its description in RNAcentral is "bacterial SSU rRNA". It matches the Rfam family "Bacterial small subunit ribosomal RNA", at positions 8 to 916 of the family's 1533-position model. The record is from RNAcentral.